UACGUAGGGUGCAAGCGUUGUCCGGAAUUACUGGGCGUAAAGAGUUCGUAGGCGGUUUGUCGCGUCGUUUGUGAAAACCAGCAGCUCAACUGCUGGCUUGCAGGCGAUACGGGCAGACUUGAGUACUGCAGGGGAGACUGGAAUUCCUGGUGUAGCGGUGAAAUGCGCAGAUAUCAGGAGGAACACCGGUUGCGAAGGCGGGUCUCUGGGCAGUAACUGACGCUGAGGAACGAAAGCGUGGGUAGCGAACAGG
This 253-nucleotide ribosomal RNA is filed under the name uncultured bacterium. Its description in RNAcentral is "partial 16S ribosomal RNA". It matches the Rfam family "Bacterial small subunit ribosomal RNA", at positions 524 to 776 of the family's 1533-position model. The record is from RNAcentral.